Molecule: non-coding RNA, 2207 nt
Organism: Anas platyrhynchos (mallard)
Lineage: Eukaryota; Metazoa; Chordata; Aves; Anseriformes; Anatidae
Source: RefSeq, a predicted model, not a curated record
CAGGUGGGCGCUUCCUGGCGGGGGGCAGGCAGAGGGACAGAGGGACGGCCCGGAGCCGCCCCUCGCCCCUCCUCUUCCUCUGUCUCUGCCUCUUCCUCUGCCUCUUUCUCUGCCUGGUGCGGUCGGCAGCCGGCCGUUGGUUUCUUUAUCGGCCCGGAGGCCGGAAGUGCAGAGACGCCAUUGAAGUUCCUCUCCCCGCCGAAGAGCCACGUGGCCGGGUAUGUGCUGCCCUCAGCUCUUGGAAGGGAGGUUUGGAGCAAAAAUAAUACCCUCACACCACUUUGCAGUUUAAUCGCUAUACAAAAACUAGCAGGGUUUCGACUGAUCAGCACGGAAAUCGAGGUAUAGGCUUGAUUUUUAUUGACUUUGAUUUUGAUUUAUUCUGUUCGUUUGGGUUUUUUUAAGCCAUACUUGACUCGUGUGUGGAUGCUCAUCUUUUACUGACAGAAAAACAUAACCAAGAGCAAAAGUGUGCAUUGCUAUCUGUGCAAGGGGCAUAUCUUUAAUGAUCAGCACAUUGCUAAUUUAGUGAAGUGAGUGCUUAGAGUGAUCUGGAAUUGCUGGAGCAGGGAGAGGUGUCUAGAUGAUUUUAAUAGUUUUGUUUCAGAGCAGCUUACAACUCCUCGGAAGGCAUUGUACUGUUUAGUAAUGUUCUCUGUCUUGCGUGUUUUCAGUAGCAAUAUUAAAUUGCCUCUAAUUGCCUUUACAGGGGAAAAACGUUCUGGAGUUGUGAUGACAGAAGAUGGGGCUAAAUUCAACGUGGAGUAGUUGUAACUAGAAUUUCAAACUUUUACUUAACUGAAGGGUGGAUGUGUCUGAGCUUCUAGAAUUAAUGCUCUUUGCAAGCAGUAGUAUUUCUGGUUGUCAAACAGAGCAGGCAAAUCCUACUUUUGGGCUAGGUCUUAAUUUCACUUCAGACAUAAAUGAGCUUUUCUAAUUAAGGUGAAACCUACAGCCUAGACGUUCUGCAGUCUCUCUCUGCUCUUUACAAAAAGCACAGAGGACCUGGGAUCUAGCUUAAUGUGCUUGAAAUUAGCCUUGACUCUUGCAGCUCUGUCUCAAACACUGUUCACAGUGUUUCAGUAUUUAGCAACGUAGACCUGCCUGUCCCUGUGGCAAACGCAUCUCUUUCUGAUUGUCUGGUGCCCAAACAAACUGGAAUGCAUGGGCCACAAAACAAAGCUCAUGGAGGAACAGGAAAUUGCUUGACAAAAGCUGCUAGCAUAACAAGCAAGCGCAGCAGGCAUAUUGGUCAGGUUAACUUAUGUUCAGCCUACCCUUAUGGGGGUGCACAGCCACUGAGGACCCCUGCUGAAGGGCAGGUACCAUGUGUGGGCAGGAGGAAAAUGGUAGUACAGCACGUGCUAACCACGAGAUAGCAGAGUUCUCCCCGCCUGGUAAGAGCGGUCUUGACCAAUCGUAUAUACACAGGGUUACUGUGUGUGCUUUCUGGUCUUAUCAAGAAUAUGCAUGGCGAUGAACUGGCUAUAUGCCAUUUACCCUGGAAACCAGAUGGGAAAAAAACACAAGGGAACACUAUAAACGACAGUACUUUUGCAAGAUAUUAGGGACCCUCCACACCAGAUCACUGAAGACAGCAGAUCAACGGGAUGCUAUGGUGGUGACCAUCUCUUGCAAUCUGUAAGAUCCCUUUGCUUUUAUUUCCAUACUUUUUCUAUUAAUUUUUUCUUAACUACCACUUCUCUUUUGAUCCACAUAUAAAAGUAAUCUGGUAGACAACAUUUGACCUUGUUUGUGUCUUAAUCUCACUGUGGGUGAAUCACAAACUACCCUACGAGCAAUCAGAACAGGACAGCUUUGUCCACAAAUUACAUUAACCUUAUCCCAACUAUGUUCUUUUUCUGUGCUGCCUUCCAAAAUUUGUCUGCUCCUGCCUUAGGGCCAUCUCUAAAUUUUAAGCUAUUACAAUCUCUCAGUUGUUCAGUGGCUAUGCUGUCACAUGGCUGACCGUACUGCAGUAUUUUUAAAUCUGAUGAUGUGCACCUUUUGAUGGCUGCUUUUCUGCUGCUAAAUAAACUGCCUUAGAAAGGUCUCAAGGAGUAUACGUGUAGUCCAAAAGACAAAGGUAAGUUUGGGAAGUCUAGAAAACGCAUGUGAACAUCCACAGUCUUAAUUUCAAUAUAUGCGAUUGUGAUGCAUUCAAAUGUAUUAAUGAGUCAAUAAAAAGACAUUGAGUUUCACUGAAA